Molecule: ribosomal RNA, 330 nt
Filed under: uncultured Clostridiaceae bacterium
Lineage: Bacteria; Bacillati; Bacillota; Clostridia; Eubacteriales; Clostridiaceae
Description: bacterial SSU rRNA
Rfam family: Bacterial small subunit ribosomal RNA
Source: RNAcentral
GAUGAACGCUGGCGGCGUGCCUAAUACAUGCAAGUCGAGCGAGAAAUCCUGCAGACGAUUCUUCGGAUGAGUCAGCGGGAUGGAAAGCGGCGGACGGGUGAGUAACGCGUAGGCAACUUGCCCUCAGCAGAGGGAUAGCCAUUGGAAACGAUGAUUAAAACCUCAUAAAGCUGUUUUGACACAUGUCGAAACAGCCAAAGAUUUAUCGGCUGAGGAUGGGCCUGCGUCUGAUUAACUGGUUGGUGAGGUAACGGCUCACCAAGGUAACGAUCAGUAGCCGACCUGAGAGGGUGAUCGGCCACAUUGGAACUGAGACACGGUCCAAACUUC